This 409-nucleotide ribosomal RNA is filed under the name uncultured bacterium. Its description in RNAcentral is "bacterial SSU rRNA". It matches the Rfam family "Bacterial small subunit ribosomal RNA", at positions 505 to 916 of the family's 1533-position model. The record is from RNAcentral.
UUGCCAGCCGCCGCGGUAAUACGGAGGGUGCAAGCGUUAUCCGGAUUCAUUGGGUUUAAAGGGUGCGCAGGCGGAUACUUAAGUCAGUGGUGAAAUCCCGGGGCUCAACCCCGGAACUGCCAUUGAUACUGAAUAUCUGGAAUACGGUUGAAGUGGGCGGAAUGUAGCAUGUAGCGGUGAAAUGCAUAGAGAUGCUACAGAACACCGAUCGCGAAGGCAGCUCACUAAGCCGAUAUUGACGCUCAGGCACGAAAGCGUGGGGAGCGAACAGGAUUAGAUACCCUGGUAGUCCACGCCGUAAACGAUGAUAACUCGUUGUUGGCGACACACAGUCAGCGACUAAGCGAAAGCGAUAAGUUAUCCACCUGGGGAGUACGGUCGCAAGGUUGAAACUCAAAUGAAUUGACGG